Arachis duranensis is the source of this 1167-nucleotide long non-coding RNA. RefSeq lists it as uncharacterized. The record is from RefSeq and is a predicted model, not a curated record. Lineage: Eukaryota; Viridiplantae; Streptophyta; Magnoliopsida; Fabales; Fabaceae. The transcript is spliced from 7 exons.
CGGGUUAAACGGUUCAACCAGUGACUCACUGGUUGAACCAAUAACCCAGUGACCCAGUAACCUGACCGGUUCGAUCACCGGUUCGGUUCUGACAACUAUGGCGUCAACGCAAGACGGAGCAAGGGCAAAAACUCUAGAAAUCCUAAAACUGCUAGAACAAUUAGGGGAUCGGGUACAAAAAGUUGCAAGUGGUGGGGUGACAACAAAAGAAAAAAGUCCGCAGAUUCCAAAGGAGAGUGGUGCAGAGGGUUUCGAGAAGUUUGAAACUCCUGCGAGGACGAAUGAAGUUACUUCUGACAUGAAAGAGAAAUGCUACCUCUGGGCCAUACGAGUGAAGACAUACACAAUUGGACUAACUAAUGAGUUUGACACCAUCUGCACACUCCAAGUCUAAGAUAGAUACAAUUUGUCAAAACUCCACCUUGCAUCACUCGCACCUGAAACGCAUAUAGAAGUUGAGAUUGUCUCUGUCAUGUGCUUCAUCCUAAACCAGCAAAAGAUUAAGAGGUUUCAAGAAGAAGUAUACUGUCUCCCCCCUGAUAUUGUAAACAUGGCCCUAAGAAAUCAUCCAAAAGGGGUAUUCUUACAGCCUAAUAACAAUAAGCCAUUCAGGGUGGAAGACUACCCAAUGUUUAUACCCUUCUUGGACCUUAAAAAAUUAGCAUCGCAUCGUUAUAUUUUUGCACCUAUUUGCCAUUCACAACAUUGGUGGUUAUGGUUGACUGAUAUAAGAAAGCAGAAAUUUUAUAUAGUCGACCCAUAUCACCCGUCUGAUGAGAGAACUGUCCUGAAUACAUUCAUUGGAUAUGUAAUUUCACGAAUUAAAGUAUAUGCUAGGGGCAUCUCUGAAGACAAGGGACAAGGACAAGAAAAUUAAACCACCAUACCUUAACAUCUCGGGCCAAAAGACAAGCUAUGACUGUGCUAUCUACGUAAUGAAGUGGCUUGAGAUAUUUGAGCCCGCAAACAUUAAAAGACAGAAGUAUGAGUGGGACAAUUGGACCCAGGAUGAGGUGUACCACUUUAGAGUAGAAUAUGCUUCCCGGAUUCUAUUCCAUGAAAUGAAUCAAGACAAAGCUGAAGCCAUUAGAGGAAGUAAUGCAAUAAGACUGUCCAAACUAUCCUCAUUGUUAUUGAGUCCAUGUUGCCAGAUAGAUUCUAAUGAUA